Long non-coding RNA from Grammomys surdaster, 973 nucleotides. RefSeq lists it as uncharacterized. The record is from RefSeq and is a predicted model, not a curated record. NCBI's taxonomy places the organism in Eukaryota, Metazoa, Chordata, Mammalia, Rodentia, Muridae. The transcript is spliced from 3 exons.
GCCAAGAAAACAUGUAGCAUACAGAUACAGGGUUGACAACUGUGAAACAGCUUCAAGUUAAAACUUCAACUCCCUUUCAACUCUGAAUUUGCACAUGGUUUCACUUACAUGCUGACUAGUGGGGACCUUGGCAUUUCUUCAGAGUAAUGUGAUCACAUCUGAAGGCAAUUAUUCUGAUUACAGAGGAUGUUAUCUGUUGUCACAGGAGCAGAUGCUAAAGACUCACACAGUCCUUGAGGAUUGUUUACAACGCUGGCCACAUCCUCAGUUCAUGAUGAGGAACCUAAAUAAUCUGUGAUUCUAUUGAAGAAGAGUAUGUUGAAUACCAAAUAAUAAAAAGGAGAUUUUCACAGGAAAUAUGAAGGAACUGAUUUGCACACUGUCUAAGAUUUAUAUGGGAAAUUUAUAGAAUGUUUAUGAAAUAUGCUUCAGCCACUAUGUAUUUUUUUUCUGAGACUGCAUGCCAGAUUAUCCUUCUUUUUCUAGAAGUCUCCAUGAAUAAACAUUUGUGAUGUCCUCUGAUAGGACAUCAGAUGAUUGCCUGUAAAUGUGUUUGAUGUCAAGCUACACUAAACUAUAGCUACUACAGCCACUCUUAUAAAUACUAUGUGGUUUUAUAUAAAUGGCCUCAUAGUCACCUGUGUGCAUAUUUGGCCCAGAGAGACUAUCAGUACUAGGUGGUGUAGCUUUGAGUAUGUGUGGCCUUGUUGGAGGAAGUGUGUCACUAUAGAACUGGACUUUGAUGUCUGAUGUCUGAGGAUCAAGAUGUAAAAAUCUCAGCUGCCUUUCUGACACCAUGUCUGCCUGCAUGUAGCCAUUUUUCUCACCAUGAUUACAAUGGACUAAACCUCUGAAGCCAGCCGUAGUUAAAUGUUUUCCUCUAUAAGACUUUCCCUGGAGACUUCCGGUUUGUGACCGAGCCUAGAGCAGGUCGCAGGCAGCAGCUCCGUACCCAACCGCAGAAAACCAAGAA